This 164-nucleotide unclassified non-coding RNA is filed under the name soil metagenome. RNAcentral's name for it is "partial internal transcribed spacer 1". The record is from RNAcentral.
CACAAUACAAUAUGAAGGCUGUCCGCAGCUGGAGUAUUUUAUUACCCUUGUCUUUUGCGCACUUGUUGUUUUCCUGGGCGGGUUCGCUCGCCACCAGGACCACCAAAUAAACCUUUUUUUAUGCAGUUGCAAUCAGCGUCAGUACAAACAAUGUAAAUCAUUUA